GCUUUCCGGUCCCACCCAGCCACUCUAGGAGCAGGCCGCCGGCCUCUGCCCACAGGAAGCACAGGUGACCACAGGGCCACACCUCUCCUGCCCAGACGCACAUCUCAGCGGUGGGACACUCGCCUCCCCGCAAGCCCUACACAGGUGGCUUUACCACAGCACAUUUACCACGGCCCGGGAGACCCAGAGGGGGAUAAACCUCCGGCUGCGCUCUGGCAUCAUAAGCAGUGGCACACAAGGACCAAACCCUGACCCAGGCUAUGAUCCCGGGGCCUGGAGCACAAACCUGCGAACAGAGAAGGGGCGAACGACUGCCGUGUGUACGAAAGGUCCGGGCCUGGCAGAUGCAGAGACAGCAGAGGACAGAGAUGGCCACAUGGGCUGCAGGAUGACGAUGUUCUAGAGUCCACGGUGGUGAGGUCACACAUGGCUGUAUCUGUCCCCAACCUGCCGGUGGACUGCGUGCCCACAAGCCACUUCUCAAUAAAGCUGU
This 493-nucleotide long non-coding RNA is filed under the name Chinchilla lanigera (long-tailed chinchilla). RNAcentral describes it as "lncRNA (ENSCLAG00000028865.1)". The record is from RNAcentral. Lineage: Eukaryota; Metazoa; Chordata; Mammalia; Rodentia; Chinchillidae.